This 59-nucleotide transfer RNA is filed under the name Pseudomonadota bacterium. Its description in RNAcentral is "Proteobacteria bacterium (freshwater metagenome) tRNA-His". It matches the Rfam family "tRNA", at positions 8 to 63 of the family's 71-position model. Rfam says of the family: Transfer RNA (tRNA) molecules are approximately 80 nucleotides in length. The record is from RNAcentral. Lineage: Bacteria; Pseudomonadati; Pseudomonadota.
UAGCUCAGUUGGUUAGAGCGCUGGAUUGUGGCUCCGGAGGCCGUGGGUUCGAACCCCAU